ACUAGGAGUCAUGUGCUGGCAUUCAGCUGUGAUCUUUUUUGUAUGCACACCUUUAGUUGUAAAUUGUGGAAAGGGUAAAAUAUGUAAUGUGAUAGCAGAUAUUAUUGCAAGAGUCUGGAAUUUUAAAAAUGAGGAUGUUGAUACUUGCACACAGGAAGUUUUCUUUCUCAGGAUUAGAAAGAAAAUGCAGUAAAACCGAGUCAAAAGUGCUGCUCUGUUUAACCUAUCAAAUGAGCGUGUUCUGUUUUGGAAAUCAAAUGAUGUAUUUCAGAUGUUUAAAGGGCAAGAAAGGGCCACUUAGCCUUGCUGGAUGCGUGAUUGAAUCACCGGUGUUCCAUUCACUGCCGCUACACUGAUGGAACACUGAUGUAGCUGGAAAAAGUUUUUAGAAUCAGAAUUGCAGAAUUGUUUGAGUUUGAAGAGGCCCUUAAGGGCCAUCUGGACCAGCUUUCCCACAGUCCGUCAUCAGCGACACGUGCAGCGCAAUCAGAAUCAUGGAAUCACCAAGGUUGGAAAAGUCUUCCAAGAUCAUCCAGUCCAACCACCCACCCAUCACCAACAUUUCUUACUAAACCAUGUCCCUCAGUACAACGUCUAAACGUUCCUUGAACACCUCCAGGGACAGUGACUUCACCACCUCCCUGGGCAGCCCAUUCCAGCACCUGACCACUCCUUCAGAGAAGAAGUUUUUCUACUGUUUGCUUUUAUGUUCCGUCAUGCACGUUUCUUAAUUGGGCAUAAAAGUACCCAACUAAAUUAUUUGAAAAUCUAAACCUUUUGUUGUAUUCAGCAACACUUCCUUACUGUGUUGCAUGUCCACAUUCAGUCACUUGUAGAACAGUUUGCCUAAGCCUUUCAUGCAGAUGCAGUGAGCUGUGCAUUACAUUUCAUUCAUGGCCCUCUGUGAUGGGGUGAAUUGUUGUAGGUUUAAUUUAAAGGCUCCAGGUUAGCAGAGUAAUGUUUCAGAGAGAGACAGGAAGAAUGCCAAAGAGGUUCUCAUUUAAGAAUCUGUCUGAGGAGAAAAGAAUGAAAUCAAGUGUUCCAGAUGAUGCUGAGCCAUUCAGAAACACAGAAACGAGCUUUAUCAAUUUUAAGCUGUAGUGACAAUAUGCAAAGUGGAUAUACGUGAUGUAAUUAAAAGAUCUUUUCCAUGGAAA
Long non-coding RNA from Tympanuchus pallidicinctus (lesser prairie-chicken), 1157 nucleotides. RefSeq lists it as uncharacterized. NCBI's taxonomy places the organism in Eukaryota, Metazoa, Chordata, Aves, Galliformes, Phasianidae. The record is from RefSeq and is a predicted model, not a curated record. The transcript has 2 exons.